RNAcentral lists this unclassified non-coding RNA (584 nucleotides) under Hevea brasiliensis (rubber tree). The record is from RNAcentral. Lineage: Eukaryota; Viridiplantae; Streptophyta; Magnoliopsida; Malpighiales; Euphorbiaceae.
GCCACUCUUGGUCGUCAAAAUCACACCACUCUUCAAUUUUGGGCACUGUAAGCACCUCAGUUAGAUACUUGGUAUCAGGAUGGGGUUGUUUCCUAAACACUUUAGCUAUUUGAUCAGCCUGUGCGGUCGUGAGCAAAGACUUUGCUGUAGGAAUGGACAGUGGCUGUGUUGCUGAGGCGAUAGAUAAUGCCUGAGCUUCUAUUACACCAUUUAUCUUGCAUUCUUUACCAUCAACCUUAAGAUUAUUGACCGCCCUAUGCCUAUCAGAUAUCAAUGGAAUAGAAGUUUGAGGAGUUUCCAAUAUCUUUCCAUUUUCCAUCAAUGGAUGAGAGGAAGUAGGUCUUGGCAUCUUACUGGGCUUAAUGUCAUUAGCAUUAAAGAAUCCGUUUGUGUCCGAGUCCUUUCGUUUCCUUGGAUUUCCCUCAGUGACACCACUCUUAGUGUUCUCCUUGGGAAGAUGAGAAGCUUUUGCAUUAUGGAUAGCUGUAUGGUCUACCUUGUUGUUUUCUUUUAAUUUAUCCAGCUCUGGAAUUUUAUGUUCAUUUUUCUUCUUUGCUUUCUCCUCCUUUUUCUUUUCUUUGUCC